This 2565-nucleotide long non-coding RNA is filed under the name Sus scrofa (pig). RNAcentral describes it as "lncRNA (ENSSSCG00035058913.1)". The record is from RNAcentral. Lineage: Eukaryota; Metazoa; Chordata; Mammalia; Artiodactyla; Suidae.
CCAAAGAGUGGCACCAACGAGUCUAGAAACAAAUCCGCACCGGCGAUUCGGGCUACGGUGGCGUCGGCGGCACCGCUGAAACUGCAGAUCCCGGCGGGGGAGUGAAGAACGCGCAAAUCGUCCGGCUCAGCCUCGGCGUGGCCCUGAGGUCGCAACCACCGCCUCCCCUUAACCGCAGACUACGGAAGCCGGCAAGCGAGUCCAGAGAAGGACCAAACUGCGGACGCUUCGAGAGGCGGGGCAUCCGUCGAGCGGAAUCACUAGCGAGCUGCCCUCACUGCGCAGGCGUGGGCGGCCGCAGAAACCCGCUAGACUGUUGGGUUCCAUUUCUGGCUAAAAUUCAGGGCGUGCAUGGAACCUUGCAUACCUUCAAAUGGCCUCCAGUUGGUUCCCUUUAGGAAACCCCUAGUUCAUCAAGCCUAUCUGCAUACAUCUCAUUGCCAUCAUCGUACGUGAAUUUCCAUCUGAACCACACACAAUUGAGGAAUAUGUCUAGACAACCAUUCCCUUGUCCUGGAAGACCUGGGGAUGAGCAAGAAGCUUGCCAAGGUUCUAAAACAGGAAAUUGGUGAGUCCCCAGAGCAACAGUGGACCACUGGGGGGAGGAGUGACCCUCAAAAUGAGCUUAAUGGUGGCUUUGGUGGCUUUGCCCAAAGCAGACUGAACUGUGGUUCAAAAGCCAGAGUUCCAGAUUCUAGGCUUCCCUAAAGACAGUAAGAUAAAUACAUGAUCUAUUUUCAUAUUUCAAAAAGGUUCCUGUUAGUGGUAAUUAUUUAUUACCAUAAAUGCUUACUUUUUUUAAAUGGCCACAACCAAGGCAUAUGGAAGUUCCCUGACCAGGGAUUGAAUCCGAGCUUCAGGAGUUCCUGUCAUGGCUCAGUGGUUAAUGAACCCGAUUAGUAUCCAUAAGGACACGGGUUCAAUCAGUGGGUUAAGGAUCCCCCCUUGUGGUGAGCUGUGGUGAAGGUCACAGACGCGGCUUGGAUCCAGCUUUGCUGUGGCUCUGGUGUAGGCCGGUGGCUUUAGCUCUGACUGGACCCCUAGCAUGGGAACCUCCAUAUGCCGCGANAAAAAAAAAAAAAAAAAAAAAAAAAAAAAAAACAGCACGCAUUGCCUUGGGAGUUCCCACUGUGGCAAAGUGGGUUAAUGAUCAGGCUUAUCUCCAUGGAGGUGCAGGUUUGAUCCCCAGCUGAGAACAGUGGGUUAAGGAUCUGGUGUUGCUGCAGCUUGGUUUUUAUCCCUUGUCUGGGAACUUGCAUAUGGUGCUGGGACAGUGGAAAAAAAAAAAAUUUCGGGGUGGAAGGGUGGCCUAAACCCAGGAAUUCUGAUUCUGUACUUUUUUUUUUUUUUUGCUUUUUAGGGCCACAUCCAUGGCAUGUGGAGGUUCCCAGGCUAGGAGUCCAAUCGGAGCUACAGCAGCCGGCCUACACCACAGCCACAGCAAUGUGGGAUAUGAGUUGUGUCUAUGACCUACACCACAGCUCAUGGCAACGCCGGAUCCUUAACCCACUGAGUGAGGCCAGGGAUUGAACCCGCAACCUCAUGGUUCCUAGUUGGAUUCAUUUCCGCUGAGCCUCGACGAGAACUUCCUGAUUCUGUACAUUUGUGAUGAGUCCCUGGAUUUGCAGUGUUUGUUUAUUUGGUUUUUUUUUGUCCAAGCUUGUGGCAUGUGAAAGUUCCUGGGCCAGGGAUCGAACCUGUGCCAUGGUAGCAACCUGAGUCGCACCACAGAGGAACUCCAGAAUCUGCAUUUUUAAAAAACUCCAAAGAUCCUAUUUUGAUUAGGAUGAUGUAUUGGAGAAACACAAUGAGAUAGGCAAAUGUGAGCCUUUGAAAGCUUUUGAGGAGAUCUGCAUUUUUUUGCUAUUGUUGUUUUGUUUUUGUGUGUGUGGCCAAGAUGUGCAGCAGCUUGAUGUGGUAUCUCAGUUCCCAGACCAGGGAUUGAACCCAGGCCUCAGCAGGGGAAGCACUGAAUCCCAACCAUUAGGCCACCAGGGAACUCUGAGAUCUGCAUUUUAGAUUACUCUCCCUGUCAAUGUGGGGAAGGAAUUAGAAGGCGCCAAGGUGAGAAUCAUAGAUUUUAGUGAUUAUGUCUAUUAAUAUAGGUCUGGAUGAGGAUCCAUGGAAAAUAAUAGCGCAAAGGAACAGCUGGGGCUUUGGAGUCAGGUAAUGAAAUCUGAAUCUAGAUUUAUUUACCUUAUACAACCAGUGCCACCUUUGACAUGUUGCUUAAGCUCUAGGCUUCUUUUUCCUUACGUAUAAAUGGUUAUAAUAAUGUCUUCUUCAUAUGACUAUUUGGGAGAGUAUGAAAAAACUUAGUACACAGUAGCUGCUCAAUACCAGUAGGUAAUUGGUUUGGAAUAUUGUUAAAGAGAUAGACUUAACUAGUAGCUAUUUGGAUAUGGUAGGUGAAGGAGAGGAAAUAUCCUAAGAUAACCACUAGGCUUCCAGCUAUGAUGAUACGGGGGCUGUAGUGCCAUGAACUAGCACAGAAUGCCGAAAGAGGAGUUCCCCUUCUGGCUCAGUGGAAAUAAACCUGACUAGUUUCCAUGAGGAUGUGGGUUU